RNAcentral lists this ribosomal RNA (236 nucleotides) under Thalassionema frauenfeldii. RNAcentral describes it as "partial Bacterial large subunit ribosomal RNA". It matches the Rfam family "Bacterial large subunit ribosomal RNA", at positions 216 to 504 of the family's 2925-position model. The record is from RNAcentral. Lineage: Eukaryota; Bacillariophyta; Fragilariophyceae; Thalassionematales; Thalassionemataceae.
GAAAAGAAAUCAACCGAGAUUCCCUAAGUAGCGGCGAGCGAACGGGGACCAGCCGAAUCAGUGUGUGUUAGUGGAAGCUUCUGGAAAGUUGCACAAUAGAGGGUGAUAGUCCCGUACACGACAGCGCACAUUGGACAUAUUAAGUAGGUCGGAGCACGAGAAACUUUGACUGAAGAUAGGGGGACCAUCCUCUAAGGCUAAAUACUCCCAAUUGACCGAUAGUGAACCAGUACCGU